This 258-nucleotide unclassified non-coding RNA is filed under the name uncultured fungus. RNAcentral's name for it is "partial contains 5.8S ribosomal RNA, internal transcribed spacer 2, and large subunit ribosomal RNA". The stretch from base 1 to 52 matches the Rfam family "5.8S ribosomal RNA", at positions 103 to 154 of the family's 154-position model. The record is from RNAcentral. Lineage: Eukaryota; Fungi.
AACGCACAUUGCGCCCUUUGGUAUUCCGAAGGGCAUGCCUGUUCGAGCGUCAUUAUCAACCAUCAAGCCUGGCUUGUCGUUGGACCCCCUUCGCCGUGUCCCCUCACGGCGAGGUCCGAAAGAUAAUGGCGGUGUCGCGUUGACCCCACGUACAACGAGCUUUCACGGCACGUACGGCGGCGGUGUAACCGGCCCAGUCUCCCUUUUAUAUCUCCAAAAGUUGACCUCGGAUCAGGUAGGAAUACCCGCUGAACUUAA